UCUGGUGACUAUAGCAAGGAGGUCACACCUGUUCCCAUGCCGAACACAGAAGUUAAGCUCCUUAGCGUCGAUGGUAGUCGAACUU
RNAcentral lists this ribosomal RNA (85 nucleotides) under Staphylococcus aureus. The record is from RNAcentral. Lineage: Bacteria; Bacillati; Bacillota; Bacilli; Caryophanales; Staphylococcaceae.